RNAcentral lists this small RNA (77 nucleotides) under Xanthomonas hortorum pv. taraxaci. RNAcentral's name for it is "sX9 sRNA". It matches the Rfam family "Xanthomonas sRNA sX9". Lineage: Bacteria; Pseudomonadati; Pseudomonadota; Gammaproteobacteria; Lysobacterales; Lysobacteraceae. The record is from RNAcentral.
AUGUACCACUCGUACACUGCGGUUCUGAGCGCGCCGUCCGCACCCACCUGACGACCGCUCGCUACGUUUUGUGAGCC